Molecule: long non-coding RNA, 349 nt
Organism: Gymnogyps californianus (California condor)
Lineage: Eukaryota; Metazoa; Chordata; Aves; Accipitriformes; Cathartidae
Exons: 3
Source: RefSeq, a predicted model, not a curated record
CGAGGAGGCAGGCUCUGCCCGAGCAGCACUGCCCCACCACCGGCAGCGGCAGCCCGCUUCCCAUCCUCGCUGUCAGCACCUGCGCCGCCUCCUUGGUGCACAGCGAGGGUCCUCCUGUCCCGGGCAGGAUGGGCCAGGCCAACUGCUGCUGCGGCUCCAGGGAGGCUCUGAGCGAGGCCGAGGCGGUGCUGAGCGCAGACGUGCGGCUGAGCCGGGGCCGCAAGAGGAGCGAGAGGCGCCUUCUCCUCCUCCCAGAGGAACUGGUCAUCGCCAAGUUGCAAGAUGACCCCAGCCUGCGCCCACAGCUCCGCCUGGCCCUGGACCAGCUGUGGGUGCUGAGCAGCGGGAA